Molecule: long non-coding RNA, 1267 nt
Filed under: Gallus gallus (chicken)
Lineage: Eukaryota; Metazoa; Chordata; Aves; Galliformes; Phasianidae
Description: lncRNA (ENSGALG00010026634.1)
Source: RNAcentral
UUACUAUCUAAAUGUUUAAUUUCAAAAAAUCAAAUAAUUGAAGCUAUCCCCAGGGAUAGGACAGUCUAAGAAUUAACAGUUUUGAAGAUAAUAGGCACUAAGUGGAACUUAGGCACAUUCAGACUUUGGAGGAUCUUGUGCCUCCUCUGCCACUGGAAAGAAGCAGCAUCUGCAAUACAGCGAAUCAUUUGCCCAAGUAAUCCGUGAAAAUAACAUAAUGAACUGAUUCAUAAUCCUAAAAAGUAAGACCAAAAGCAGACCUGAGUCAAGAUAUUAAGCACUGUAAACACUGAGUUUGCUAGGAGUUCUGUAGGACUGGAGAAACAGGCUGUAUGACAACUCAGUUUCUAUGGUCACUCUGGGCUUUUUGAAUUCCAUUGCGGCAGAUGACUCAGAGAGUCUGGGUAUUGAAAUUUUAUAGUAGUGACCUUCAAGUCCAAGGCCUCUUUCAGUCUCUCUCAAUAUGUGCUGAAGUACACCUUUAAGGAACAACACAGGCCCCGACUUUGCCACUGAGCAGAAGCCCUUUGGCUUCAUAGCCACCCUAAAAACAUGGAACCUGAACGCUGAAACAGCCACAUGAUGGCAGCAAGGUAUCAGAAGGACGCAGGACUUCACUGCCUCAGAGAGCAGAAAUGUGAGUAUUUAAAGGCUGCAGUCUUUCUAUUUAUUCUACUACUCUCUCAAAGGAAGUAACUGUAAAAUAAAUCAUGAAUCAUUUAGGUUGGAAGAGACUUUCAAGAUGAUCAAGUCCACCAGAUCCUUUUCUGCUGGGUAAUGUUCCAGCCACGUUUUCCCAAGGCUUUUCUGCUGCAUGUGUUGUUACGACUCUGCAUAGUUCCAAGCAACUUCUGGCUGAUGUGAGAAUAUCAGUCCUUCCUAUUUAAUGGUUCUGUGAUUGUGUGACAUAUGCACCUGUCUAUGUAAAAGACCUUUUUUGGGGUAAGAAUACAAUCAAAUGUAAAUCCACAACUGAUAAACAGUCUGGAUCAUGUAUCAACCAUAAUAUUCAAAGCCUUCAUCCUGACAUUGACUCCAAACUGGGCAAUGAAGUGGCUGAUCCAGGGCUUGAUCAUAAAGCAACUGAAGGAGAGGCGCAUGCCAGCUAGAAUGCGUUCAUUGAAAUGUUUUUGUUUGUUUGUUUGUUUUAAUGCGAAUUCUCUUUUUCUUGGUGUGAUUGUAAGCUCAGCUGAGAAGGGCAUGUGAUAGGUUGACCCUGGUCGUCACUCACUACCCCUCAGUGGGAUGGGGGAGAGAAUUGGAAGAG